UCGAGAAUCUUUUGCAAUGGGCGCAAGCCUGACAAAGCGACGCCGUGUGAGCGAUGAAGGCCUUCGGGUUGUAAAGCUCUUUCGCAAGGGAGCAAGGGAGGGAGAAUAACACUCUCCUAACUUGAGAGUACUUUGUAAAGAAGCACCGGCUAACUCCGUGCCAGCAGCUGCGGUAAUACGGAGGGUGCAAGCAUUAAUCGGAUUUACUGGGCGUAAAGGGUGCGCAGGCGGUUUGGCAAGUCAGGUGUGAAAUUCCGGUACUCAAUAUCGGAGCGGCACUUGAAACUACCUUACUAGAGUGUAGGCGGAGAAAACGGAAUUCCAUAUGUAGCGGUGAAAUGCGUAGAUAUAUGGAAGAACACCUGUGGCGAAAGCGGUUUUCUAGCUUAUUACUGACGCU
Molecule: ribosomal RNA, 400 nt
Filed under: uncultured bacterium
Lineage: Bacteria
Description: bacterial SSU rRNA
Rfam family: Bacterial small subunit ribosomal RNA
Source: RNAcentral